Molecule: transfer RNA, 71 nt
Filed under: Marmota monax (woodchuck)
Lineage: Eukaryota; Metazoa; Chordata; Mammalia; Rodentia; Sciuridae
Description: tRNA.Ala
Rfam family: tRNA
About the family: Transfer RNA (tRNA) molecules are approximately 80 nucleotides in length.
Source: RNAcentral
GGGGUUGUAGCUCAGUGGUAGAGCGCUUGCCUAGCAUGUAUGAGGCACUGGGUUUGAUUCUCAGCACCACA